GAAUUGCGAUAAGUAAUGUGAAUUGCAGAAUUCAGUGAAUCAUCGAAUCUUUGAACGCACCUUGCGCUCUUUGGUAUUCCGAAGAGCAUGCCUGUUUGAGUGUCAUUAAAUUCUCAACCCAUUUCAUUUGUUUAUCAAGUGAAGUGUGUGUUGGAUGUGGGGGUUGCGGGCUUUCAUUCAGUUGAAGUCGGCUCUCCUGAAAUGCAUUAGCGGAAACCUUUGUUGGACCGCUUCUAUUGGGUGUGAUAAUUAUCUACGCCUAGGAAGCGCGAAAGCACUUGGGUUCAAUUUUGAACCGGGGUUUUGCUUCUAAUCGUCCAUUCACUUGGACAAUUUACUUUGACAUUUGACCUCAAAUCAGGUAGGACUACCCGCUGAACUUAA
RNAcentral lists this unclassified non-coding RNA (384 nucleotides) under uncultured Agaricales. RNAcentral describes it as "sequence contains ITS1". The stretch from base 1 to 105 matches the Rfam family "5.8S ribosomal RNA", at positions 50 to 154 of the family's 154-position model. Lineage: Eukaryota; Fungi; Basidiomycota; Agaricomycetes; Agaricales. The record is from RNAcentral.